Molecule: ribosomal RNA, 253 nt
Filed under: uncultured bacterium
Lineage: Bacteria
Description: partial 16S ribosomal RNA
Rfam family: Bacterial small subunit ribosomal RNA
Source: RNAcentral
UACGAAGGACCCGAGCGUUAUCCGGAUUCAUUGGGUUUAAAGGGUGCGUAGGCGUCCCGGUAAGUUUUCGGUGAAAUCCUCAAGCUUAACUUGAGAACUGCCGAGAAUACUGCUGGGAUUGAGUACAGUUGAGGUGGGCGGAAUGUGUCAUGUAGCGGUGAAAUGCUUAGAUAUGACACAGAACACCAAUUGCGAAGGCAGCUCGCUAAACUGUAACUGACGCUGAGGCACGAAAGCGUGGGUAGCAAACAGG